CCUACGGGGGGCUGCAGUAGGGAAUAUUGGGCAAUGGGCGAAAGCCUGACCCAGCCACGCCGCGUGCAGGAAGAAGGCCCUCUGGGUUGUAAACUGCUUUUGACUGGGAAGAAAAGACCUCUUGCGAGAGGAGUUGACGGUACCAGUGGAAUAAGCCACGGCUAACUACGUGCCAGCAGCCGCGGUAAUACGUAGGUGGCGAGCGUUAUCCGGAUUUAUUGGGUUUAAAGGGUGCGUAGGCGGCUGAUUAAGUCAGCGGUGAAAGGUAGCAGCUU
RNAcentral lists this ribosomal RNA (275 nucleotides) under uncultured Emticicia sp. RNAcentral's name for it is "partial 16S ribosomal RNA". It matches the Rfam family "Bacterial small subunit ribosomal RNA", at positions 338 to 610 of the family's 1533-position model. The record is from RNAcentral. Lineage: Bacteria; Pseudomonadati; Bacteroidota; Cytophagia; Cytophagales; Leadbetterellaceae.